Molecule: ribosomal RNA, 253 nt
Filed under: uncultured bacterium
Lineage: Bacteria
Description: partial 16S ribosomal RNA
Rfam family: Bacterial small subunit ribosomal RNA
Source: RNAcentral
UACGAAGGGUGCUAGCGUUGUUCGGAAUCACUGGGCGUAAAGCGCGCGUAGGCGGCUAUCCAAGUCAGGGGUGAAAUCCUGGGGCUCAACCCCAGAAUUGCCUUUGAAACUGAUAAGCUUGAGUGUCGGAGGGGAUAGCGGAAUUCCUAAUGUAGAGGUGAAAUUCGUAGAUAUUAGGAGGAACACCGGUGGCGAAGGCGGCUAUCUGGACGACAACUGACGCUGAGGCGCGAAAGCGUGGGGAUCAAACAGG